This 249-nucleotide ribosomal RNA is filed under the name uncultured prokaryote. RNAcentral's name for it is "partial 16S ribosomal RNA". It matches the Rfam family "Bacterial small subunit ribosomal RNA", at positions 524 to 772 of the family's 1533-position model. The record is from RNAcentral.
UACGGAGGAUGCAAGCGUUAUCCGGAUUCAUUGGGUUUAAAGGGUGUGCAGGCGGAGAGAUAAGUCAGUGGUGAAAAACUGCCGCUCAACGGUAGUCUUGCCAUUGAUACUGUCUUUCUUGAGUAUGGUUAAGGUAGGCGGAAUGUGCAGUGUAGCGGUGAAAUGCAUAGAGAUUGCACAGAACUCCGAUUGCGAAGGCAGCUUACUGAGCCAUAACUGACGCUGAGGCACGAAAGCGUGGGGAGCGAA